RNAcentral lists this ribosomal RNA (468 nucleotides) under uncultured bacterium. Its description in RNAcentral is "partial 16S ribosomal RNA". It matches the Rfam family "Bacterial small subunit ribosomal RNA", at positions 29 to 507 of the family's 1533-position model. The record is from RNAcentral.
ACGAACGCUGGCGGCGUGCUUCACCCCUGCCAGUCGCACGGAAAGGCCCUGCUUGCAGGGUGCUCGAGUGGCGAACGGGUGAGUAACACGUGGGUGAUCUGCCCCUUACUUUGGGAUAAGCCUGGGAAACUGGGUCUAAUACUGGAUAGGACCAUGCUGUAGGUGGUGUGGUGGAAAGAUUAGUUUCGGUAAGGGAUGAGCUCGCGGCCUAUCAGCUUGUUGGUGGGGUAAUGGCCUACCAAGGCGUCGACGGGUAGCCGGCCUGAGAGGGUGGACGGCCACAUUGGGACUGAGAUACGGCCCAGACUCCUACGGGAGGCAGCAGUGGGGAAUAUUGCACAAUGGGCGCAAGCCUGAUGCAGCGACGCCGCGUGGGGGAUGACGGCCUUCGGGUUGUAAACUCCUUUCAGCCAUGACGAAGCCCUUGUGGUGACGGUAGUGGUAGAAGAAGCACCGGCUAACUACGUG